UACGUAGGUGGCAAGUGUUGUCCGGAUUUAUUGGGCGUAAAGAGCUCGUAGACGGUUGGGUAAGUCGGGUGUGAAAACUCUGGGCUCAACUCAGAGACGCCACCCGAUACUGCUCUGACUUGAGUCCGGUAGGGGAGUGGGGAAUUCCUGGUGUAGCGGUGAAAUGCGCAGAUAUCAGGAGGAACACCGGCGGCGAAGGCGCCACUCUGGGCCGGAACUGACGCUGAGGAGCGAAAGCGUGGGUAGCAAACAGG
RNAcentral lists this ribosomal RNA (254 nucleotides) under uncultured bacterium. Its description in RNAcentral is "partial 16S ribosomal RNA". It matches the Rfam family "Bacterial small subunit ribosomal RNA", at positions 524 to 776 of the family's 1533-position model. The record is from RNAcentral.